Molecule: non-coding RNA, 72 nt
Organism: Ictidomys tridecemlineatus (thirteen-lined ground squirrel)
Lineage: Eukaryota; Metazoa; Chordata; Mammalia; Rodentia; Sciuridae
Source: Rfam
GGGGGUGCAGCUCAGUGGUAGAGUGCAUGCUUAACAUGUGAGGGGCCCUGGGUUCAAACCCCAGCAGCACUA